CUUCCCCCCCCCCCCCCGAUACUCCCACAAAUCUGGUGUCUUUGAGCUUUCUGUUACAUUUGACUGACAUAUAGAUCAGAACUUCCAGUAGCAAUACAGACUUGCAUCUGCAUGUGCUAGGACACUAUAAACUUUGGCUUUUUCAGAUCCACUGUCAAAAGCGCCAUAAGAUACGAUCGCUUUAGGCUUUUUCCUAGUGUUUUUUGAAUUGCAUUGUGUUGGAAUUGCUGACAAAUUCUUUAAAAAUACCAACGCACAAGGCCUACUUCUUCCGAGCAGAAUUUCAGGUCAGGAACGGACACCAGAGCACAGACUGCUCCCAGGCUGCAAAAAUACUGCCUGGUUUUUUUUUCCUGAGAGGAAGUCUGUGAGAUAGCAUGCUGGCUCCCACCGGGGAGCAAUUCCAGAGAGCGCGUUGAUUACUCCCCUUCCUAGAUGGGACCAAAGACCAAGCUAGAGAUCACUACUGUCAAAGGUCCCUGCAGGCCUUUUGUCUGGAGGCAAGUACUGGUUUGCAAGAAGGAAUUACAUGGACUUGCAAGACCUCAGGAUAAGCAAAGGCAUAUUUUUGGAGCUCUGCACAUUGGUUGCUUCAGGGCUGCUGGAUAUUAG
Molecule: long non-coding RNA, 612 nt
Filed under: Struthio camelus australis
Lineage: Eukaryota; Metazoa; Chordata; Aves; Struthioniformes; Struthionidae
Description: lncRNA (ENSSCUG00000007295.1)
Source: RNAcentral